GACGAACGCUGGCGGCGUGCCUAAUACAUGCAAGUCGAACGCUGAAGAGAGGCGCUUGCUCUUCUUGGAUGAGUUGCGCACGGGUGAGUAACGCGUAGGUAACCUGCCUUGUAGCGGGGGAUCUUUAUUGGACACGUUAGAUAAUACAGCAUAACAAUGGACUACACAUGUCAUUUCUUUGAAAGUGGCAAUUGCUUCACUACAAGCUGGAUCUGCGUUGUAUUAGUUAGUAGGUGAGGUAACGGCGCACCUAGGGGUGGAUACAUAGCCGACCUGAUAUGGUGGUCGGCCACACUGGGACUGAGACACGGCCCAGACUCCUACGGGAGGCAGCAAGAGGGAAUCUUCGGCAAUGGGGGCAACCCUGACCGAGCAACGCCGCGGGAGUGAAGAAGGUUGUCGGGUCGGAAAGCUCUGUUGUAGGUCAAGAACGAGUGUGAGAGUGGAAAGUUCACACUGUGACGGUAGCUGACCAGAAAGCGACGGCUAACUACGUG
This 497-nucleotide ribosomal RNA is filed under the name uncultured bacterium. RNAcentral describes it as "partial 16S ribosomal RNA". It matches the Rfam family "Bacterial small subunit ribosomal RNA", at positions 28 to 507 of the family's 1533-position model. The record is from RNAcentral.